CCUACGGGAGGCAGCAGUGAGGAAUAUUGGUCAAUGGGCGAGAGCCUGAACCAGCCAAGUCGCGUGAGGGAUGACGGUCCUAUGGAUUGUAAACCUCUUUUGUCAGGGAACAAAGGCGGCCACGUGUGGACUGAUGAGUGUACCCGAAGAAAAAGGAUCGGCUAACUCCGUGCCAGCAGCCGCGGUAAUACGGAGGAUGCGAGCGUUCUCCGGAUUUAUUGGGUUUAAAGGGUGCGUAGGCGGACAGUCAAGUCAGCGGUAAAAAUGCGGUGCUCAACGCCGUACAGCCGUUGAAACUGGCAGUCUUGAGUGGGCGAGAAGUAUGCGGAAUGCGUGGUGUAGCGGUGAAAUGCAUAGAUAUCACGCAGAACCCCGAUUGCGAAGGCAGCAUACCGGCGCACUACUGACGCUGAGGCACGAAAGCGUGGGUAUCGAACAGGAUUAGAUACCCCUGUAGUC
This 459-nucleotide ribosomal RNA is filed under the name uncultured bacterium. Its description in RNAcentral is "partial 16S ribosomal RNA". It matches the Rfam family "Bacterial small subunit ribosomal RNA", at positions 338 to 795 of the family's 1533-position model. The record is from RNAcentral.